RNAcentral lists this transfer-messenger RNA (360 nucleotides) under pig gut metagenome. It matches the Rfam family "transfer-messenger RNA". Rfam says of the family: Bacterial tmRNA, also known as 10Sa RNA or SsrA, is named for its dual tRNA and mRNA-like properties. Its role is to liberate the mRNA from a stalled ribosome. The record is from RNAcentral.
GGGGGUGUUUUGGUUUCGACAGGGUGGUUGAAAAGCAAGUUAAGCGGAGUGUGGUCGCCAAGUCCCACAAUAAUAAAAUGGCAAAUUGCUUAAACGCAGAAAAAAAUUAUACUCCAGCAUUGGCUAUUGCAGCCUAACUGGCGUCUUGACUUAAGCCUUCUUGGCGACUUUUGUUAAGGCGACAACAAGUCCAAGAAUUCCCACCCAAGAUGUUUGAGUAGGGUUGGUCUUAUUUAUCAAACUUUGGUCAAUGGAUUUUGUUGUUUUGGAAGUUGACCGAAAUUCUCAAAACAACUAUCUUCGUAGAAAGACUUGUUUUUGCCAUUUUGGACAGGAGUUCAAUUCUCCUCACCUCCACCA